Molecule: ribosomal RNA, 934 nt
Filed under: uncultured bacterium
Lineage: Bacteria
Description: bacterial SSU rRNA
Rfam family: Bacterial small subunit ribosomal RNA
Source: RNAcentral
AGAGUUUGAUCAUGGCUCAGAGCGAACGCUGGCGGCGUACCUAACACAUGCAAGUCGAACGGGGAUCACAGGGUUAGCAAUAACUCCGUGGUUCUAGUGGCGCACGGGUGAGUAACACGUGGGUAACCUGCCCUUGAGACUGGGAUACCCCCUCGAAAGGGGGGCUAAUACCGGAUACGUUCCUCGGAUCGAAAGGUCUGAGGAGGAAAGGUGGCGAAAGCUGCCGCUCUUGGAGGGGCUCGCGGCCUAUCAGCUAGUUGGCGGGGUAACGGCCCACCAAGGCUAUGACGGGUAGCUGGUCUGAGAGGACGACCAGCCACACGGGGACUGAGACACGGCCCCGACUCCUACGGGAGGCAGCAGUGGGGAAUUUUCCGCAAUGGGCGAAAGCCUGACGGAGUGACGCCGCGUGUGGGACGAAGGCCUUCGGGUCGUAAACCACUGUCAGUGGGAAAGAUGGGUGUCGGCGCGAUAACCGCCGGCAUUUGACGGUACCUGCAGAGGAAGCCCCGGCUAACUCUGUGCCAGCAGCCGCGGUAAGACAGAGGGGGCAAGCGUUGCUCGGAAUUACUGGGCGUAAAGGGCGCGUAGGCGGGAUGGCAAGUCGGUCGUGAAAUCCCUCGGCUCAACUGAGGAUCGUCGAUCGAUACUGCCGUUCUUGAGGAUUGCAGAGGAGACUGGAAUUCCCGGUGUAGCGGUGAAAUGUGUAGAGAUCGGGAGGAACACCGGUGGCGAAAGCGGGUCUCUGGGCAAUUCCUGACGCUGAGGCGCGAAAGCGUGGGGAGCAGACGGGAUUAGAUACCCCGGGUAGUCCACGCUGUAAACGAUGACGACUAGUGUGGGGGGGGGUUCAGUCCCUUCCGUGCCGCAGCUAACGCAUUAAGUCGUCCGCCUGGGGAGUACGGCGCAAGUUGAAACUCAAAUGAAUUGACGG